AGAAAUCUCAGGAUUGUCCUGACCUCAGAAAAUUUAAAUCAUGUUCUCGAUCAGGAUCCCGUAGUGCCACCAAAUCAUCCUACUGCUGAGCAAAGAGCUGCUUUUAAGAAGUGGACGGAUAAAGACAGUCAGGUCAAGUGCUAUAUGCUAGCAUCCAUGUCCAAUGAGUUGCAAAGCCAGCAUGAGCAUAUGUCCACUAUCCGGGCC
This 207-nucleotide long non-coding RNA is filed under the name Elaeis guineensis (African oil palm). Its description in RNAcentral is "long non-coding RNA (EGUI_LNC018482)". The record is from RNAcentral. Lineage: Eukaryota; Viridiplantae; Streptophyta; Magnoliopsida; Arecales; Arecaceae.